Molecule: unclassified non-coding RNA, 355 nt
Filed under: Hevea brasiliensis (rubber tree)
Lineage: Eukaryota; Viridiplantae; Streptophyta; Magnoliopsida; Malpighiales; Euphorbiaceae
Source: RNAcentral
GAGACUUCUUCCAGAUUCUCAAUUGUUACCUGUAGCUCACUAGUUAAAGUAACUUUGUCAUUCAGAAGUGCAGAUUUCUCCUGUAGAAGAGAUUGACAAGAGUCUUCUAAUUCCUUUAAACUGCCUCUCACAGCUUCUAGUUCAGCACUCAAAUCUGACAGAGAGUUUUCCAGAAUGGAGUUUUUCUCAAGAAGCUCUUCGAACACUUGUAGCUUCUCCAGAAGAGCUAUUUUUUCACUUCUUUCCCUCUCACAGGUUUCUCCAAGAUUUGACUUUUCAUGUUGCAGCUCCUUUACAGAUGAUUCAAAGCAUUCUGGAUCAAGGCCCACUGCCUGCACCUGUGUCACAAUAGAUA